Molecule: ribosomal RNA, 255 nt
Filed under: Klebsiella pneumoniae
Lineage: Bacteria; Pseudomonadati; Pseudomonadota; Gammaproteobacteria; Enterobacterales; Enterobacteriaceae
Description: partial 23S ribosomal RNA
Rfam family: Bacterial large subunit ribosomal RNA
Source: RNAcentral
UAAGCAUGUAGGCUGGUUGUCCAGGCAAAUCCGGAUAACCAAGGCUGAGGUGUGAUGACGAGGUACUACGGUGCUGAAGUAACAAAUGCCCUGCUUCCAGGAAAAGCCUCUAAGCAUCAGGUAACAUCAAAUCGUACCCCAAACCGACACAGGUGGUCAGGUAGAGAAUACCAAGGCGCUUGAGAGAACUCGGGUGAAGGAACUAGGCAAAAUGGUGCCGUAACUUCGGGAGAAGGCACGCUGGUGUGUAGGUGA